Molecule: small nucleolar RNA, 236 nt
Filed under: Lachancea mirantina
Lineage: Eukaryota; Fungi; Ascomycota; Saccharomycetes; Saccharomycetales; Saccharomycetaceae
Description: Small nucleolar RNA snR42
Rfam family: Small nucleolar RNA snR42
Source: Rfam by way of RNAcentral
ACAAAAAACCCCGGUAAAAGCGUGUGUUGUUAGCGUAGUACAACGCAAGGGCGACCUUUGGAGUCACAUUUCUAUGCCUUCAGCGAAGCGUAUUGCUCUGUUAAAUGCAACGCAGUAUUUUACCGCAGAAAAAAUUUUGUAAACCCAACUUUAAAACCAUCGCUGUUAGAGGUCUGCUUCUCGCUUGCGGGUUGAGCGACCCAUGAAAUGGUGAUGACCUGAGGACUGGGAUAUUU